CACGUAGGGGGCAAGCGUUGUCCGGAUUUAUUGGGCGUAAAGAGCUCGUAGGUGGCUCGGUUAGUCGGGUGUGAAAUUCCGAGGCUCAACCUCGGAACGCCACUCGAUACUGCCAUGGCUAGAGUCCGGUAGAGGAGCGUGGAAUUCCUGGUGUAGCGGUGAAAUGCGCAGAUAUCAGGAGGAACACCAGCGGCGAAGGCGGCGCUCUGGGCCGGUACUGACACUGAGGAGCGAAAGCGUGGGGAGCAAACAGG
This 254-nucleotide ribosomal RNA is filed under the name uncultured bacterium. RNAcentral's name for it is "partial 16S ribosomal RNA". It matches the Rfam family "Bacterial small subunit ribosomal RNA", at positions 524 to 776 of the family's 1533-position model. The record is from RNAcentral.